This 215-nucleotide long non-coding RNA is filed under the name Elaeis guineensis (African oil palm). RNAcentral describes it as "long non-coding RNA (EGUI_LNC042902)". The record is from RNAcentral. Lineage: Eukaryota; Viridiplantae; Streptophyta; Magnoliopsida; Arecales; Arecaceae.
CUUCUUCAGAUCUUCUUUCUCUUGAGAAAAAAAGAGAAAAAAAUUAGAUUAGAUCAGAUUUUUUGAUCCUUCUAAAGAUAUUUUUGAUUUUUUUAAGAAAAAAAUCAAAAGAGAUCAAAGAUUCAACAAUCCAAAGAGAGAUCUUUGCAAGAAAACUAGUACUCCAGUGAGAUCAGGAUCUCCUGAUCAAAUUAGCUUCGUGUGGAUACCUGUAG